This 246-nucleotide ribosomal RNA is filed under the name uncultured bacterium. RNAcentral describes it as "partial 16S ribosomal RNA". It matches the Rfam family "Bacterial small subunit ribosomal RNA", at positions 111 to 353 of the family's 1533-position model. The record is from RNAcentral.
UAACACGUGGGCAACCUGCCUUACAGAGGGGAUAGCCUUCCGAAAGGAAGAUUAAUACCGCAUAUUAUGAUUUUUCUUGCAUGGGAAAGUCAUGAAAGGAGCAAUCCGCUGUAAGAUGGGCCCGUGGCGCAUUAGCUAGUUGGUGAGGUAAGGGCUCACCAAGGCGACGAUGCGUAGCCGACCUGAGAGGGUGAUCGGCCACAUUGGGACUGAGACACGGCCCAGACUCCUACGGGAGGCAGCAUG